CGAUGUCGACAGCCGUUGGGUGCCUAGCGCACUUUGUGGCGAAGUUAACGCGAUAAGUCGACCGCCUGGGGAGUACGGCCGCAAGGUUAAAACUCAAAUGAAUUGACGGGGGCCCGCACAAGCGGUGGAGCAUGUGGUUUAAUUCGAUGCAACGCGAAGAACCUUACCUACUCUUGACAUCCUGCGAAUUCGGUAGAGAUACCUUAGUGCCUUCGGGAACGCAGAGACAGGUGCUGCAUGGCUGUCGUCAGCUCGUGUUGUGAAAUGUUGGGUUAAGUCCCGUAACGAGCGCAACCCUUGUCCUUAUUUGCCAGCGCGUAAUGGCGGGAACUCUAAGGAGACUGCCGGUGACAAACCGGAGGAAGGUGGGGACGACGUCAAGUCAUCAUGGCCCUUACGAGUAGGGCUACACACGUGCUACAAUGGUCGGUACAAAGGGUUGCGAGCUCGCGAGAGUCAGCCAAUCCCGAAAAGCCGAUCUCAGUCCGGAUCGGAGUCUGCAACUCGACUCCGUGAAGUCGGAAUCGCUAGUAAUCGUAGAUCAGAAUGCUACGGUGAAUACGUUCCCGGGCCUUGUACACACCGCCCGUCACACCAUGGGAGUGGACUGCACCAGAAGUGGUUAGCCUAACGCAAGAGGGCGAUCACCACGGUGUGGUUCAUGACUGGGGUGAAGUCUAAAAGG
Molecule: ribosomal RNA, 685 nt
Filed under: Vreelandella aquamarina
Lineage: Bacteria; Pseudomonadati; Pseudomonadota; Gammaproteobacteria; Oceanospirillales; Halomonadaceae
Description: bacterial SSU rRNA
Rfam family: Bacterial small subunit ribosomal RNA
Source: RNAcentral